GGGUUGUGAGGUUAAGCGACUAAGCGUACACGGUGGAUGCCCUGGCAGUCAGAGGCGAUGAAGGACGUGCUAAUCUGCGAUAAGCGUCGGUAAGGUGAUAUGAACCGUUAUAACCGGCGAUUUCCGAAUGGGGAAACCCAGUGUGAUUUGUCACACUAUCAUUAACUGAAUCCAUAGGUUAAUGAGGCGAACCGGGGGAACUGAAACAUCUAAGUACCCCGAGGAAAAGAAAUCAACCGAGAUUCCCCCAGUAGCGGCGAGCGAACGGGGAGGAGCCCAGAGCCUGAAUCAGUGUGUGUGUUAGUGGAAGCGUCUGGAAAGGCGCGCGAUACAGGGUGACAGCCCCGUACACAAAAAUGCACAUGCUGUGAGCUCGAUGAGUAGGGCGGGACACGUGGUAUCCUGUCUGAAUAUGGGGGGACCAUCCUCCAAGGCUAAAUACUCCUGACUGACCGAUAGUGAACCAGUACCGUGAGGGAAAGGCGAAAAGAACCCCGGCGAGGGGAGUGAAAAAGAACCUGAAACCGUGUACGUACAAGCAGUGGGAGCACGCUUCGGCGUGUGACUGCGUACCUUUUGUAUAAUGGGUCAGCGACUUAUAUUCUGUAGCAAGGUUAACCGAAUAGGGGAGCCGAAGGGAAACCGAGUCUUAACUGGGCGUUAAGUUGCAGGGUAUAGACCCGAAACCCGGUGAUCUAGCCAUGGGCAGGUUGAAGGUUGGGUAACACUAACUGGAGGACCGAACCGACUAAUGUUGAAAAAUUAGCGGAUGACUUGUGGCUGGGGGUGAAAGGCCAAUCAAACCGGGAGAUAGCUGGUUCUCCCCGAAAGCUAUUUAGGUAGCGCCUCGUGAAUUCAUCUCCGGGGGUAGAGCACUGUUUCGGCAAGGGGGUCAUCCCGACUUACCAACCCGAUGCAAACUGCGAAUACCGGAGAAUGUUAUCACGGGAGACACACGGCGGGUGCUAACGUCCGUCGUGAAGAGGGAAACAACCCAGACCGCCAGCUAAGGUCCCAAAGUCAUGGUUAAGUGGGAAACGAUGUGGGAAGGCCCAGACAGCCAGGAUGUUGGCUUAGAAGCAGCCAUCAUUUAAAGAAAGCGUAAUAGCUCACUGGUCGAGUCGGCCUGCGCGGAAGAUGUAACGGGGCUAAACCAUGCACCGAAGCUGCGGCAGCGACACUAUGUGUUGUUGGGUAGGGGAGCGUUCUGUAAGCCUGUGAAGGUGUGCUGUGAGGCAUGCUGGAGGUAUCAGAAGUGCGAAUGCUGACAUAAGUAACGAUAAAGCGGGUGAAAAGCCCGCUCGCCGGAAGACCAAGGGUUCCUGUCCAACGUUAAUCGGGGCAGGGUGAGUCGACCCCUAAGGCGAGGCCGAAAGGCGUAGUCGAUGGGAAACAGGUUAAUAUUCCUGUACUUGGUGUUACUGCGAAGGGGGGACGGAGAAGGCUAUGUUGGCCGGGCGACGGUUGUCCCGGUUUAAGCGUGUAGGCUGGUUUUCCAGGCAAAUCCGGAAAAUCAAGGCUGAGGCGUGAUGACGAGGCACUACGGUGCUGAAGCAACAAAUGCCCUGCUUCCAGGAAAAGCCUCUAAGCAUCAGGUAACAUCAAAUCGUACCCCAAACCGACACAGGUGGUCAGGUAGAGAAUACCAAGGCGCUUGAGAGAACUCGGGUGAAGGAACUAGGCAAAAUGGUGCCGUAACUUCGGGAGAAGGCACGCUGAUAUGUAGGUGAAGUCCCUCGCGGAUGGAGCUGAAAUCAGUCGAAGAUACCAGCUGGCUGCAACUGUUUAUUAAAAACACAGCACUGUGCAAACACGAAAGUGGACGUAUACGGUGUGACGCCUGCCCGGUGCCGGAAGGUUAAUUGAUGGGGUUAGCCGCAAGGCGAAGCUCUUGAUCGAAGCCCCGGUAAACGGCGGCCGUAACUAUAACGGUCCUAAGGUAGCGAAAUUCCUUGUCGGGUAAGUUCCGACCUGCACGAAUGGCGUAAUGAUGGCCAGGCUGUCUCCACCCGAGACUCAGUGAAAUUGAACUCGCUGUGAAGAUGCAGUGUACCCGCGGCAAGACGGAAAGACCCCGUGAACCUUUACUAUAGCUUGACACUGAACAUUGAGCCUUGAUGUGUAGGAUAGGUGGGAGGCUUUGAAGUGUGGACGCCAGUCUGCAUGGAGCCGACCUUGAAAUACCACCCUUUAAUGUUUGAUGUUCUAACGUUGACCCGUAAUCCGGGUUGCGGACAGUGUCUGGUGGGUAGUUUGACUGGGGCGGUCUCCUCCUAAAGAGUAACGGAGGAGCACGAAGGUUGGCUAAUCCUGGUCGGACAUCAGGAGGUUAGUGCAAUGGCAUAAGCCAGCUUGACUGCGAGCGUGACGGCGCGAGCAGGUGCGAAAGCAGGUCAUAGUGAUCCGGUGGUUCUGAAUGGAAGGGCCAUCGCUCAACGGAUAAAAGGUACUCCGGGGAUAACAGGCUGAUACCGCCCAAGAGUUCAUAUCGACGGCGGUGUUUGGCACCUCGAUGUCGGCUCAUCACAUCCUGGGGCUGAAGUAGGUCCCAAGGGUAUGGCUGUUCGCCAUUUAAAGUGGUACGCGAGCUGGGUUUAGAACGUCGUGAGACAGUUCGGUCCCUAUCUGCCGUGGGCGCUGGAGAACUGAGGGGGGCUGCUCCUAGUACGAGAGGACCGGAGUGGACGCAUCACUGGUGUUCGGGUUGUCAUGCCAAUGGCACUGCCCGGUAGCUAAAUGCGGAAGAGAUAAGUGCUGAAAGCAUCUAAGCACGAAACUUGCCCCGAGAUGAGUUCUCCCUGACUCCCUGAGAGUCCUGAAGGAACGUUGAAGACGACGACGUUGAUAGGCCGGGUGUGUAAGCGCAGCGAUGCGUUGAGCUAACCGGUACUAAUGAACCGUGAGGCUUAACCUUACAACGCCGAAG
RNAcentral lists this ribosomal RNA (2926 nucleotides) under Escherichia coli. RNAcentral describes it as "bacterial LSU rRNA". It matches the Rfam family "Bacterial large subunit ribosomal RNA". Lineage: Bacteria; Pseudomonadati; Pseudomonadota; Gammaproteobacteria; Enterobacterales; Enterobacteriaceae. The record is from RNAcentral.